CAAUAGCGUAUAUUAAAGUUGUUGCGGUUAAAAAGCUCGUAGUUGGAUCUUGGCAGGCAGGGGGUGGUUCGCUCUUAGCGCUACUGCCCCAUUUGCCUGUGUGAUUGGCGGAGGUUUCGGGGUGCUCUUCGUUGAGUGACCCGGGGCGCCGUCAGGUUUACUUUGAAAAAAUUAGAGUGCUCAAAGCAGGCUUUUCACGCUUGAAUAUUCGUGCAUGGAAUAAUGGAAUAGGAACUCGUUUCUAUUUUGUUGGUUUUCGGAAAUCGAGUUAAUGAUUAAUAGGGACAAUUGGGGGCAUUAGUAUUCAGACGACAGAGGUGAAAUUCUUGGACCGUCUGAAGACUAACUACUGCGAAAGCAUUUGCCAAGAGUGUUUUCAUUAA
This 383-nucleotide ribosomal RNA is filed under the name uncultured eukaryote. RNAcentral's name for it is "partial 18S ribosomal RNA". It matches the Rfam family "Eukaryotic small subunit ribosomal RNA", at positions 592 to 976 of the family's 1831-position model. The record is from RNAcentral.